This is a long non-coding RNA of Macrosteles quadrilineatus (aster leafhopper), 307 nucleotides long. RefSeq lists it as uncharacterized. The transcript has 3 exons. Lineage: Eukaryota; Metazoa; Arthropoda; Insecta; Hemiptera; Cicadellidae. The record is from RefSeq and is a predicted model, not a curated record.
CACGAUCCUUCAGAGAGUCGAGGUUGUAGAAGGAAUUAACUGUCGUCGAGGGACAGCGUGUGGGUUUUUGUGAUUUUUCUUGGUUUACUUUAUGUUUUAAGUGUACUUUUGCCAUUUGUUUAGUUUAUUUUAAGACAAUAGUGCAUCUGGAUCUUCUUCAAGAACCGAUCUCAUUUGAGUUUGCCUUCACACAAAAAAAGACUGAAGAGGAUGGGCAGCAGCUAGCAGUAGGGGAUGACACUGAGAGAUGGACAGUGUCAGUCAGUGGGUGACGGGAGGAGGGAGUGAUCUAACAGUCACAGGGAGU